Molecule: ribosomal RNA, 1236 nt
Filed under: Salinicola halophilus
Lineage: Bacteria; Pseudomonadati; Pseudomonadota; Gammaproteobacteria; Oceanospirillales; Halomonadaceae
Description: bacterial SSU rRNA
Rfam family: Bacterial small subunit ribosomal RNA
Source: RNAcentral
UGGUGGCGAGCGGCGGACGGGUGAGUAAUGCAUAGGAAUCUGCCCGGUAGUGGGGGAUAACGUGGGGAAACCCACGCUAAUACCGCAUACGUCCUACGGGAGAAAGCGGAGGAUCUUCGGACUUCGCGCUAUCGGAUGAGCCUAUGUCGGAUUAGCUAGUUGGUAAGGUAACGGCUUACCAAGGCGACGAUCCGUAGCUGGUCUGAGAGGAUGAUCAGCCACACUGGGACUGAGACACGGCCCAGACUCCUACGGGAGGCAGCAGUGGGGAAUAUUGGACAAUGGGCGAAAGCCUGAUCCAGCCAUGCCGCGUGUGUGAAGAAGGCUUUCGGGUUGUAAAGCACUUUCAGCGAGGAAGAAAGCCUGUCGGUUAAUACCCGGCAGGAACGACAUCACUCGCAGAAGAAGCACCGGCUAACUCCGUGCCAGCAGCCGCGGUAAUACGGAGGGUGCGAGCGUUAAUCGGAAUUACUGGGCGUAAAGCGCGCGUAGGUGGCUUGGCACGCCAGGUGUGAAAGCCCCGGGCUCAACCUGGGAACGGCAUCUGGAACGGCCAAGCUAGAGUGCAGGAGAGGAAGGUGGAAUUCCCGGUGUAGCGGUGAAAUGCGUAGAGAUCGGGAGGAAUACCAGUGGCGAAGGCGGCCUUCUGGCCUGACACUGACACUGAGGUGCGAAAGCGUGGGUAGCAAACAGGAUUAGAUACCCUGGUAGUCCACGCCGUAAACGAUGUCGACUAGCCGUUGGGACCUUUAAGGACUUAGUGGCGCAGUUAACGCGAUAAGUCGACCGCCUGGGGAGUACGGCCGCAAGGUUAAAACUCAAAUGAAUUGACGGGGGCCCGCACAAGCGGUGGAGCAUGUGGUUUAAUUCGAUGCAACGCGAAGAACCUUACCUACCCUUGACAUCCUGCGAACCCGGAAGAAAUUCCGGGGUGCCUUCGGGAACGCAGUGACAGGUGCUGCAUGGCUGUCGUCAGCUCGUGUUGUGAAAUGUUGGGUUAAGUCCCGUAACGAGCGCAACCCUUGUCCUUAUUUGCCAGCGAUUCGGUCGGGAACUCUAAGGAGACUGCCGGUGACAAACCGGAGGAAGGUGGGGACGACGUCAAGUCAUCAUGGGCCUUACGGGUGGGGCUACACACGUGCUACAAUCGCCGGUACAAAGGGUUGCGAGACCGCGAGGUGGAGCGAAUCCCAUAAAGCCGGCCGCAGUCCGGAUCGGAGUCUGCAACUCGACUCC